This 429-nucleotide ribosomal RNA is filed under the name Pseudomonadota bacterium. Its description in RNAcentral is "Proteobacteria bacterium partial 16S ribosomal RNA". It matches the Rfam family "Bacterial small subunit ribosomal RNA", at positions 355 to 776 of the family's 1533-position model. The record is from RNAcentral. Lineage: Bacteria; Pseudomonadati; Pseudomonadota.
UGGGGAAUAUUGGACAAUGGGCGAAAGCCUGAUCCAGCCAUGCCGCGUGUGUGAAGAAGGUCUUCGGAUUGUAAAGCACUUUAAGUUGGGAGGAAGGGCAGUAAGCGAAUACCUUGCUGUUUUGACGUUACCGACAGAAUAAGCACCGGCUAACUCUGUGCCAGCAGCCGCGGUAAUACAGAGGGUGCAAGCGUUAAUCGGAAUUACUGGGCGUAAAGCGCGCGUAGGUGGUUCGUUAAGUUGAAUGUGAAAGCCCCGGGCUCAACCUGGGAACUGCAUCCAAGACUGGCGAGCUAGAGUAGGGCAGAGGGUGGUGGAAUUUCCUGUGUAGCGGGGAAAUGCGUAGAUAUAGGAAAGAACACCAGUGGCGAAGGCGACCACCUGGGCUCAUACUGACACUGAGGUGCGAAAGCGUGGGGAGCAAACAGG